GCCUAACACAUGCAAGUCGAGCGCGCCCUUCGGGGUGAGCGGCGGACGGGUUAGUAACGCGUGGGAACAUACCCUUCUCUAAGGAAUAGUCUCGGGAAACUGAGGGUAAUACCUUAUACGCCCUUCGGGGGAAAGAUUUAUCGGAGAUGGAUUGGCCCGCGUUAGAUUAGAUAGUUGG
RNAcentral lists this ribosomal RNA (178 nucleotides) under Sedimentitalea sp. Its description in RNAcentral is "partial 16S ribosomal RNA". It matches the Rfam family "Bacterial small subunit ribosomal RNA", at positions 46 to 252 of the family's 1533-position model. Lineage: Bacteria; Pseudomonadati; Pseudomonadota; Alphaproteobacteria; Rhodobacterales; Paracoccaceae. The record is from RNAcentral.